RNAcentral lists this ribosomal RNA (253 nucleotides) under uncultured bacterium. Its description in RNAcentral is "partial 16S ribosomal RNA". It matches the Rfam family "Bacterial small subunit ribosomal RNA", at positions 524 to 776 of the family's 1533-position model. The record is from RNAcentral.
UACGUAGGGGGCGAGCGUUGUCCGGAUUUACUGGGCGUAAAGAGCGUGUAGGCGGCCAAGCAGGUCUGUUGUGAAAACUGGAGGCUCAACCUCCAGACGCCGACAGAAACCGUCUGGCUAGAGUCCGGAAGAGGAGAGUGGAAUUCCUGGUGUAGCGGUGAAAUGCGCAGAUAUCAGGAAGAACACCGAUGGCGAAGGCAGCUCUCUGGGACGGUACUGACGCUGAGACGCGAAAGCGUGGGGAGCAAACAGG